CUUAAGGAAGCGCUUUGUCCACGUGGACAGAAAACGCGUCAUUGCGCUUUGUGUCCACGUGGACAAAGUGCUUCCUUGAGG
Non-coding RNA from Gossypium hirsutum (cotton), 81 nucleotides. Lineage: Eukaryota; Viridiplantae; Streptophyta; Magnoliopsida; Malvales; Malvaceae. The record is from Rfam.